RNAcentral lists this ribosomal RNA (639 nucleotides) under Mycobacterium sp. So2Ps_818. RNAcentral describes it as "bacterial SSU rRNA". It matches the Rfam family "Bacterial small subunit ribosomal RNA", at positions 380 to 1030 of the family's 1533-position model. Lineage: Bacteria; Bacillati; Actinomycetota; Actinomycetes; Mycobacteriales; Mycobacteriaceae. The record is from RNAcentral.
AGCCUGAUGCAGCGACGCCGCGUGGGGGAUGACGGCCUAUCGGGUUGUAAACCUCUUUCAGUAGGGACGAAGCGCAAGUGACGGUACCUAUAGAAGAAGGACCGGCCAACUACGUGCCAGCAGCCGCGGUAAUACGUAGGGUCCGAGCGUUGUCCGGAAUUACUGGGCGUAAAGAGCUCGUAGGUGGUUUGUCACGUUGUUCGUGAAAACCCACAACUCAAUUGUGGGCGUGCGGGCGAUACGGGCAGACUAGAGUACUGCAGGGGAGACUGGAAUUCCUGGUGUAGCGGUGGAAUGCGCAGAUAUCAGGAGGAACACCGGUGGCGAAGGCGGGUCUCUGGGCAGUAACUGACGCUGAGGAGCGAAAGCGUGGGGAGCGAACAGGAUUAGAUACCCUGGUAGUCCACGCCGUAAACGGUGGGUACUAGGUGUGGGUUUCCUUCCUUGGGAUCCGUGCCGUAGCUAACGCAUUAAGUACCCCGCCUGGGGAGUACGGCCGCAAGGCUAAAACUCAAAGAAAUUGACGGGGGCCCGCACAAGCGGCGGAGCAUGUGGAUUAAUUCGAUGCAACGCGAAGAACCUUACCUGGGUUUGACAUGCACAGGACGUGCCUAGAGAUAGGUAUUCCCUUGUGGUCUG